Molecule: RNA transcript, 1261 nt
Organism: Raphanus sativus (radish)
Lineage: Eukaryota; Viridiplantae; Streptophyta; Magnoliopsida; Brassicales; Brassicaceae
Exons: 1
Source: RefSeq, a predicted model, not a curated record
AUCUUUGUUACUGCUAAAAAAAAUCUUUCGGUGUAUAUUUUACCUUUUUUUAUGGCUUAUGUGUAUAAAUAUAUUGGAUGUAGUUUAUGUAUCAGAGACUAUAGGUUAAGUGAAAAGAAAAAUAAUAAGAAUAAAGGUCCAAAUCUUUUUGACUUUUUCAACAGAAACUUCUCUUUUGUCUUCUUUAAAUAUUCAAAUUUGUCUGUCCACUCUUUCGUUAUGUUUUUAAUUUAAAACUUUACCUUUCUCUCUCUCUGUCUCUUGUCGGAAAACUCAGAAGCUUCGAAAAUGGGGAGGCCAUGUACGGUAGAAAAGAAGAGUCUUUUGAUCAUCUCUCAUCGUAAUCAAGAGGUCGAAAAUGAAGAAGAGGAAGAAGCGUUGUCUCUGUGUGAUUUGCCGGUGAAUUCAUCUAACGAGAAAGCUGAGCUUCCGAAACAACCAAAGGCAGAAGAGGAGUUCGAAUUCGAAACCGGGUCAUCGUUUCGCCUCGGGUCGGAUUCGUGUGAACUGGCUCCGGGGAUGAGUACGGCUGACGAGUUAUUCUCCGAAGGUCUACUCCUCCCGUUUCGUCACUCCGUCAGCUUAGACGCCGGACUUCCCGGUCCGAACCGGUUGAUCACCAGAUCAGAAUCUGCCGAUUUCCGAAGAACCGGAGCCGGUUCGAACCGGAAAAUCGAAACUAAUUUCAUCGAUUACAGUCAACCGAGUCCACAGCCACAGAUCAUGAGACGAUCAUCGAGCAUGACGGGGAGAGUGAGUUCUAUCAGAAGCUCCAAAUCAUCUUCGAUUUGGGAUUUUCUCCGGUUAGGACUCGUCCGUACGCCGGAGAUCGAACUUCGAACGGCGAGAGUAUCAGUGAGUCGAAACAGUAGCUGCAGUAGCACAAGCACGAGCUCGAAUUCGAAGAGAACAGAGUCGAAACCGAGGAAUCGGAGAAGAAGCUUUCUGUUCGGGGAUUGUAAGUGCUCUGCGGCGGCGACCGAGACGAUCGUACCUGUGAAGAAGACGGCGAAGAAAGAGGAGAAAAUGGCGGUUGCCCGGAAGAGAACGUUUGAGUGGUUAAAAGAGUUAGGGUUUGUCGGUUGAUCACGGGAGACGAAGCUUGGCUUGAUGAUCACUCAAUCAAAGAAACUUCGUGUUUCUCUGUCUUUUUUUUUCUUAAAUAUUUUAAUGUAUUUUUUUCUGUUUAAUCAAUUUGUAGGUGAUUAAUUUUUGUAUGUUAGUGUUGAUUGCCAAUUAUACUUUAAUUUUCCAGAUGAUC